RNAcentral lists this ribosomal RNA (253 nucleotides) under Fusicatenibacter saccharivorans. RNAcentral's name for it is "partial 16S ribosomal RNA". It matches the Rfam family "Bacterial small subunit ribosomal RNA", at positions 524 to 776 of the family's 1533-position model. Lineage: Bacteria; Bacillati; Bacillota; Clostridia; Lachnospirales; Lachnospiraceae. The record is from RNAcentral.
UACGUAGGGGGCAAGCGUUAUCCGGAUUUACUGGGUGUAAAGGGAGCGUAGACGGCAAGGCAAGUCUGAAGUGAAAGCCCGGUGCUUAACGCCGGGACUGCUUUGGAAACUGUUUGACUGGAGUGCCGGAGAGGUAAGCGGAAUUCCUAGUGUAGCGGUGAAAUGCGUAGAUAUUAGGAAGAACACCAGUGGCGAAGGCGGCUUACUGGACGGUAACUGACGUUGAGGCUCGAAAGCGUGGGGAGCAAACAGG